GGGGGCGUAGCUCAGCUGGAAGAGCACCUGCCUUGCACGCAGGAGGCCAGCGGUUCGAGUCCGCUCGCCUCCA
Molecule: transfer RNA, 73 nt
Filed under: bacterium
Lineage: Bacteria
Also listed under: 3 other names
Description: tRNA-Ala
Rfam family: tRNA
About the family: Transfer RNA (tRNA) molecules are approximately 80 nucleotides in length. Their secondary structure includes four short double-helical elements and three loops (D, anti-codon, and T loops). Further hydrogen bonds mediate the characteristic L-shaped molecular structure. tRNAs have two regions of fundamental functional importance: the anti-codon, which is responsible for specific mRNA codon recognition, and the 3' end, to which the tRNAs corresponding amino acid is attached (by aminoacyl-tRNA synthetases). tRNAs cope with the degeneracy of the genetic code in two manners: having more than one tRNA (with a specific anti-codon) for a particular amino acid; and 'wobble' base-pairing, i.e. permitting non-standard base-pairing at the 3rd anti-codon position.
Source: RNAcentral